Molecule: small RNA, 79 nt
Filed under: Flavobacterium sp. KMS
Lineage: Bacteria; Pseudomonadati; Bacteroidota; Flavobacteriia; Flavobacteriales; Flavobacteriaceae
Description: Flavo-1 RNA
Rfam family: Flavo-1 RNA
Source: Rfam by way of RNAcentral
GCCUAGCCCAGAUGGGAACGGUAUCCUUUUUAUUUUUUCUUUAAAAAUAAAAAGAUAUAAGUGGACAGCUGGAAAUAGC